UACGAAGGGGGCUAGCGUUGUUCGGAUUUACUGGGCGUAAAGCGCACGUAGGCGGUUUGUUAAGUGAGAGGUGAAAUCCCAGAGCUCAACUCUGGAACUGCCUUUCAUACUGGCAAGCUAGAGUCCGGAAGAGGUAAGUGGAACUCCGUAGUGUAGAGGUGGAAUUCGUAGAUAUUAGGAAGAACACCAGUGGCGAAGGCGGCUUACUGGUCCGGUACUGACGCUGAGGUGCGAAAGCGUGGGGAGCAAACAGG
RNAcentral lists this ribosomal RNA (254 nucleotides) under uncultured bacterium. RNAcentral's name for it is "partial 16S ribosomal RNA". It matches the Rfam family "Bacterial small subunit ribosomal RNA", at positions 524 to 776 of the family's 1533-position model. The record is from RNAcentral.